Plodia interpunctella (Indianmeal moth) is the source of this 1260-nucleotide long non-coding RNA. RefSeq lists it as uncharacterized. The transcript is spliced from 3 exons. Lineage: Eukaryota; Metazoa; Arthropoda; Insecta; Lepidoptera; Pyralidae. The record is from RefSeq and is a predicted model, not a curated record.
UGAUAAGAUGCAUAUCGAAGCUAUUCUGUCUUAUCCCCGCCGUUGCACACGGUAGUGGCUCAGCUAAUAAAAAAAAAAAUAAGAUUCGGCCGCAUGCUUGAUGUCAACUCUCCUUUGGAAUGCUAUUGUUACCUAUUAGAUGCACAGUCUAUGUGUGCUUUAGUCGCCUCGUAUGACAUCCACGGGAGGAUAUGGAGUGGUGAUAUUCAAAGGUUGAACCAGGCAUUUGCUGCAUUUUUAUGCAUAUCGAUCCCUCAGCCUAAUAAAUUUAUUUAAUUUAAGGAGUACUUACAGUCCAUUUUGUUUUCCUUUUUUGUUGUUACAGUCUAAUUACAUGUUUAGAAAAAAAAAGGACAAAUUGUUGAUAACAAGAUUUCGCUGACAAAAUGAAAAAGAAAAUUACCUAACUACAUAACUAACUUAUAAAAAAAUAACAAUUGACAUAUCACUAUUAUUAUAAUUAACUAUUGAUAUAUUUUAAUGAUAAACAAUAAAGAGAUAUAAUUAUAACGAAAUAAACAGUACAAUAAUACACAUAAUUAAAUACAAUACUUAUUUUUAAUAUUAUUAAUUUAAAAAAUAAAUACGAUGAAUGAACGAAAUACACAUUAUUCUCUCUUGUUUUUCAUAAAAUAGAUAGCAAAACAAAUAUAUAGCCCUUCUCCCAUUGCAGCGCCCGACAGGGUCCUUAAUUGUUCCUUUAUUUUGUAAAAUUAUGACCUGUACAUUAAGGAUGCAAUAAAUAAUUUGAAUUGAAUUGAAUUGACUGUGAAAAUUAACAAUGUUUGUUCCAAAUGAACGAAACCAAACUUGUGGAAUCUAAUUCUAAAUCUUUAAAACAAUUAGUCGUGCAGUCUAACAAAUUACAUGGAUUUUUCUGUGUAUUUAAUUUAAAUUUUCACCGGCAAAUUUAACUUCUUGUCGCUACCGCUUGAGUUACCGGCCACCGUUCACAGUAAUGCGACAUAAAUGCGGAUGUAAGGUUUCAAUUCAAUCAUUGAAGUACUACCAAUUUGAUACAUGCAAAAGUGAAUUAAAAAUGUGUAAUUGGAAGAAAUCUCAUCAAACUCUCAUCAGCAUCGUCGAUAUAAGAUAAGGUAAGUUCUCAUUUAUAUUACUCUGUCAUUCGAUUCCUACAGAUAAACAUUGUCUAGCAUUAUACCUUAUGAAAUAUCUUUAAAAAAUAAAAACCAUAACCACAGGGGAAUUGAGGACAAUGAGCGAUAGAUGUUGCCAUCUUAUUCCGCGCACGUAGUGUUG